This 373-nucleotide ribosomal RNA is filed under the name uncultured bacterium. RNAcentral describes it as "bacterial SSU rRNA". It matches the Rfam family "Bacterial small subunit ribosomal RNA", at positions 93 to 500 of the family's 1533-position model. The record is from RNAcentral.
CAGUGGCGGACGGGUGAGUAACGCGUGAGAAUCUGCCCUCAGGAGGGGGAUAACGGCUGGAAACGGCCGCUAAUACCCCAUAUGCCGCGAGGUGAAAUGAAUUUCGCCUGAGGAUGAGCUCGCGUCUGAUUAGCUAGUUGGUGGGGUAAAGGCCUACCAAGGCGACGAUCAGUAGCUGGUCUGAGAGGAUGAUCAGCCACACUGGGACUGAGACACGGCCCAGACUCCUACGGGAGGCAGCAGUGGGGAAUUUUCCGCAAUGGGCGAGAGCCUGACGGAGCAACGCCGCGUGAGGGAUGAAGGCCUCUGGGCUGUAAACCUCUUUUCUCAAGGAAGAAGACCUGACGGUACUUGAGGAAUAAGCCACGGCUAA